UUUGCUGGAUAAAAUAAAAAA
Molecule: non-coding RNA, 21 nt
Organism: Caenorhabditis elegans
Lineage: Eukaryota; Metazoa; Nematoda; Chromadorea; Rhabditida; Rhabditidae
Source: Ensembl